RNAcentral lists this ribosomal RNA (253 nucleotides) under uncultured bacterium. RNAcentral describes it as "partial 16S ribosomal RNA". It matches the Rfam family "Bacterial small subunit ribosomal RNA", at positions 524 to 776 of the family's 1533-position model. The record is from RNAcentral.
CACGUAGGGCGCGAGCGUUGUCCGGAAUUAUUGGGCGUAAAGAGCUCGUAGGCGGCCUGUUGCGUCCGCUGUGAAAGCCCGGGGCUUAACCCCGGGUCUGCAGUGGAUACGGGCAGGCUAGAGGUAGGUAGGGGAGAAUGGAAUUCCCGGUGUAGCGGUGAAAUGCGCAGAUAUCGGGAGGAACACCGGUGGCGAAGGCGGUUCUCUGGGCCUUAACUGACGCUGAGGAGCGAAAGCGUGGGGAGCGAACAGG